RNA transcript from Oncorhynchus mykiss (rainbow trout), 4607 nucleotides. It is a transcript of the gene named RAB11-binding protein RELCH homolog, with no coding region annotated. The record is from RefSeq and is a predicted model, not a curated record. Lineage: Eukaryota; Metazoa; Chordata; Actinopteri; Salmoniformes; Salmonidae.
UAAUCCCACUAUUCAAUGGCAGAGGCGGGCGCUGGAAUGACAUUCAACCAAACCCUUCCCUGCAUUCAACCCCUUUCAGCUGAUCGGGGAAAGACGGGCAGAUAGCUUAAAAUUGGACCCCUCUUCCUGGACGGAUGGCUUUCUAGCUAGCUAGAAACAGGUUAAAUCUUCAUAUUAGAAAAAUGGCGGCGGAUAGCGUCAACCCGUUUAAUCUGAGCGAUUCUGAAGAUGAGGCAGAGCAGAGAGCAGAGGACGGGGUUGAUGCCGAAAGGAGCCUUAGCGAUGGAGCGCCAGGGCUCCCGUCCAACAACCCCUUCUCCCCGCAGGCGGACGCCGAGCCCCCGGCCCUUCUGCUGUCCAGCACCCGGACCAGCCCAAGUGUGGAAGGCAUCUCGGUAGCAGCCGCAGCAAUGCCAAGCGGCUUGGCAGAGACUCGGGUAUCUGUAGAUGUGAUUGCUGCUCAACUAAUACGGGAUCAAUACAUCCUCACCGCUCUUGAAUUUCAUACCGAAUUGUUGGAGUCAGGGAGGGAGCUUCCCCGGUUGCGGGACUAUUUCUCCAACCCGGGCAAUUUCGAGAGGCAAAGCGGCACUCCACCAGCUUGUAAAGACCAAGGACUGGGGCCAGGUGGACCGCUAAACCGAGCGGGCAGCAUCAGCACGUUGGACUCUCUGGACUUCGCCCGUUACUCUGACGACGGGAACCGGGAGUCGGAUGAGAGGGUGGCAGUGCUGGAGUUUGAGCUACGGAAAGCCAAGGAGACCAUUCAGGCUCUACGCGCCAACUUGACUCAGGCAGCAGAGAGCGACACUAGGGAGAGAAACAAGAACUACAAAUCAAAUCCUGAGAUUCAGGAACCUAUCCGCCCACUGGAGAAGCGAGCCUUAAAUUUUCUUGUGAAUGAAUAUUUAUUAAAGAAUGAGUACAAACUGUCGGCCAUCACAUUCUCUGAUGAAAAUGAUGACCAGGACUUUGAGUUGUGGGACGACGUGGGCCUGAACAUUCCGAAGCCUCCCGAUCUAUUACAGAUCUACAGGAACUGUGGCUCCGCCCUUCCGUCGCCGCGGGAUACAGUGGAUGUAUCCGUGGGGGUGGAGGCAGGCGAGCUCACUGGGAACUACAUUGUCCAGAAACCUGAUCUCUUGCAGCAGCAGCACACUGAGAUGGUUGAGGAGUUCGAGUAUCAGAUCAGUCUACUGAACGAGGAAAAACAGAGUCUGGCUGACCAGAUCAAGAAACUACAGAGUGAGAUCCAAAGCCUGAGAAGGACUGUGUCCCCCCCUCCUCCUGACCAGGGCUCACAUCUCAACUCCCUCUCCUCCUCAUCCACACCUCCCCCUCCCUGGUCCCCCCUGGACAACGGUCAGUACUUGGACGUCAGGAGAGCCUCAGAACCUGACAAACCCCACACUGAGAGCAACCCCCCCACUCAGAACGUCAGUUCCCCUACACACACCUCUACACAACCCCAUGCCAAGCUGAAGUGCAGAGGGACGGUGGUGUUUGACCAGCCCAACAGGGAGUUGUCACCAGCGUUCCAGCAGGCCCUGUUGUCCUUUUGUAAGAUGUCAGCUGACAGUCGUCUGGGGGAAGAGGUGUCGAGGAUGGCAGACAAUGAGGAGAGUGUGAUGCUGAUGUUGGGUCGCUGUCUCCCUCACAUCGUCCCCAAUGUCCUCCUGGCCAAACGAGAGAGAAUGGUUGCACACCUGUGCCAGGAGUUGAUUCCUCUCAUCCUGUGUACAGCAUGUCUCCACCCGAAGCCUAAAGAGAGAGACCAGCUCCUUCACAUCCUCUUCAACCUCAUCAAGAGACCUGACGACGAACAGAGGCGGAUGAUCCUAACAGGUUGUGUGGCGUUUGCCAGACAUGUUGGUCCUACCAGAGUUGAGGCUGAACUCCUACCACAAUGCUGGGAACAGAUCAACCAUAAGUAUUCAGAGAGGAGGUUGUUGGUAGCAGAGGCCUGUGGAGCCUUAGCAUCUUACCUGCCUAAGGAGAUCCGUAGUUCCCUGGUGUUGUCCAUGCUGCAGCAGAUGCUGGCUGAAGACAAGGCAGACAUGGUCAGAGAGGCCGUGGUCAAAAGCCUCGCUAUCAUCAUGGGAUACAUCGACGACCCUGACAAGUACUCCCAGGGUUUUGAGUUGAUGUUGUUGUCCCUCGGUGACCCAUCGGAGAGGGUGGUCAGUGCUAUCCACCAGGUGUUCAUCCCAGCAUUCGCUGCCUGGACCACAGAGCUGGGAAUCCUCCAGACCACUCUCAUCCCCUCUCUGCUGGCCCGCAUAGAGAAACUUCUCAAGCAGGGUGAACAUGGUCUUGAUGAACACAAGCUCCACAUGUUCCUGUCGGCCCUCCAGUCUCUCAUCCCUCCUCUGUUUUCUGUGGUGCUCCAGAACGCUCCCUUCACACACAGGCUCACACUGCAGGGAGACAUCCCCCCCAUAGAGGUGACGCGGUUCCCUCGGCCAGCGUCUCCUCUUCAGGAUGUAGCGACUGUCGUGGGCAGCCGGGAGAUGCUGAGCGGCCUCCUCAUCCUCUACGAUUACCAGCUAGAACAUGAGGGCACUACGGGCUGGGACAGUCUGCUGUGGGUGGUCAAUCAACUUCUUCCCCAGCUGAUAGAGAUAGUAGGUGGUAUUACUGUAACCUCCACUACGUGUGUCCAUGAGUUCUCGCGCUUCUUCUGGAGACUCUGCCGUACGUUUGGCAAGAUCUUCACGAACACCAAGGUAAAACCACAGUUCCAGGAGAUCCUACGGCUCUCUGAAGAGAAUGUUGAUGCUUUAACCGGGAAUGCUAUUCUCACCAAGGCUACAGUUCCAGUCUAUGCUACAGGUGUACUGACAUGCUACAAUCAGGAUGAGGAUCGUAAGCUGCUGGUUGGUUUUCUAGAGGACGUCAUGACAACCCUGUCUCUCUCCCACGCCCCUCUGGACAGCCUCAAAGCCUCCUUCAUAGAGCUGGGAGCUAACCCAGUGUACCAUGAAUUGUUACUGACAGUACUGUGGUAUGGUGUGGUCCACACCUCGGCUCUGGUCCGCUGUACCGCUGCAUGCAUGUUUGAGCUGCUGGUGAAGGGGGUGAAUGAGACGCUGGUGGCUCAGAGGGUGGUGCCCGCUCUCAUCACUCUCUCCAGCGACCCUGAAAUGUCAGUUAGGAUCUCUACUAUCCCUGCCUUUGGUACCAUCAUGGAGAUGGUCACACACAAAGAGCUAUUGGAGCGUGUGAAGAUGCAGCUGGCGUCCUUCCUGGAGGACCCACAGUACCAGGACCAACACUCUCUACACAUGGAGAUCAUCAGGACCUUUGGCCGGGUCGGACCCAACACUGAGCCACGCUUCAGAGACGAGUUUGUGCUCCCCCACCUCCACAAGCUGGCGUUGGAUAACAACGCCCAGACUACAGAGAGGAAGAGGAUAGACAUCGCUACUCAGCUGUUUGAGGCCUACAGCGCUCUCUCAUGCUGCUGUGUCCUUCACCUUCUUCAUCUCAGAGGAGGUUAUGGUGAAUCACUUCCUGCCUGGACUGAGGUGUCUGAGGGCGGACAUGGAACAGCUAUCUCCUGAACACGAGGUGAUCCUGAGCUCCAUGAUCAAGGAGGGGGAAACCAAGGUAGAGAACAGAGGGAUCGGACAGGCUGAGGGAUCUGUGUCCAUCGCUGCCAGUCUGGUUGGGGAAGACGCCAAGACCAAGUUCCUGAGUAAGAUGGGUCAGCUGACCACGUCCGGCGCCAUGCUGGCCAACGUUUUCCAGAGAAAGAAGUGAUCCUUCUUCCACCGCCGAACCUCCUAGCAGCAAGCAUACUACAUAUCCCAUGAGCCUCCAUUGUCUGGGAGCGUCAGCCCAGGCUCCAACGAUGGGCCAGGUCAGGGUCUCUGCUCGAACGCCUUCUGAAUGCAUCCUUCACUCCUCCCUGACUGGACAGGGGACAGCACUGAGCCCUAGGAAGGAAGGGUGCCCUUUUUUACAUAUUUGAUCAGGUCCAGGGUGUAUGUCAAUAGUCUGAAGUGGUUUCCUCUCCUCGUCUCAAGGAGAGAAAUGAAUUAUUAUACUAUUGAGAUGCAGCCACUAAGAUUUGGACAACUGGGUUUGUUCUAGAAUUUUUACAGAUGCAAUGUCACCAAAAGCUUUCUGAACAUUCCAGUCCAGUUAGAAUUUUAGUGGCGUUCUUUGUCAGAAUGUGAUUGUUCCCGAACCUUUGUGUCAACAUGGAGAGGAGUAGCUAACUAACUGACGUCUGCAUGUUCAUGGCUCUGGCGAAUUGCCUACUUGAAGUCAAAAUCGUCUGCCUUUUAUUUAAUCACGUCUCUCGUUGUUUUGAUAUUUUAUGAAUGAUUUAAGACUUACUUCCUCCAAAGAAAUCUGCACUUCACUUUAUUACUUUCUCUUUAUUCUGUUUUGAUUUCAGAGUCUUAUUAUAGAGGAUGUACAUCCACAUCACUACCUUUCAUUGGAUUUGUUGUAUUUCUGUUGGAAAAGAGAAGAACACUGAUUGUCUUACUUAAUCCAUGCAUCCAUCUCUCUCUCUCUUUCUCUCUCUCUCUCUUUCUCUCUCUCUUUCUCUUUCUCUCUCUCUGUCUCUCUCUCUUUCUCUCUCUCUCUUUCUCUCU